Molecule: unclassified non-coding RNA, 29 nt
Filed under: Dictyostelium discoideum
Lineage: Eukaryota; Evosea; Eumycetozoa; Dictyosteliales; Dictyosteliaceae
Source: RNAcentral
AAACAUUUUACAGAGUACACUGUAGGCAC